UUCCGGUUGAUCCUGCCGGACCUGACUGCUAUCGGAUUGAUACUAAGCCAUGCGAGUCAUUGUAGCAAUACAAGGCAUACGGCUCAGUAACGCGUAGUCAACCUAACCUAUGGACGGGAAUAACCUCGGGAAACUGAGAAUAAUGCCCGAUAGAACACUAUAUCUGGAAUGGUUUGUGUUCCAAAUGAUUUAUCGCCGUAGGAUGGGACUGCGGCCUAUCAGUUUGUUGGUGAGGUAAUGGCCCACCAAGACUAUUACAGGUACGGGCUCUGAGAGGAGUAGCCCGGAGAUGGGUACUGAGACACGGACCCAGGCCCUAUGGGGCGCAGCAGGCGAGAAAACUUUGCAAUGUGCGAAAGCACGACAAGGUUAAUCCGAGUGAUUUGUGCUAAACGAAUCUUUUGUUAGUCCUAGAAACACUAACGAAUAAGGGGUGGGCAAGUUCUGGUGUCAGCCGCCGCGGUAAAACCAGCACCUCAAGUGGUCAGGAUGAUUAUUGGGCCUAAAGCAUCCGUAGCCGGCUCUGUAAGUUUUCGGUUAAAUCUGUACGCUUAACGUACAGGCUGCCGGGAAUACUGCAGAGCUAGGGAGUGGGAGAGGUAGACGGUACUCGGUAGGAAGGGGUAAAAUCCUUUGAUCUAUUGAUGACCACCUGUGGCGAAGGCGGUCUACCAGAACACGUCCGACGGUGAGGGAUGAAAGCUGGGGGAGCAAACCGGAUUAGAUACCCGGGUAGUCCCAGCUGUAAACUAUGCAAACUCAGUGAUGCAUUGACUUGUGGUCAAUGCAGUGCUGCAGGGAAAGCC
This 806-nucleotide ribosomal RNA is filed under the name uncultured archaeon. RNAcentral describes it as "bacterial SSU rRNA". It matches the Rfam family "Archaeal small subunit ribosomal RNA", at positions 1 to 813 of the family's 1478-position model. The record is from RNAcentral.